CCUACGGGGGUCAGCAGUGGGGAAUAUUGCACAAUGGGGGGAACCCUGAUGCAGCGACGCCGCGUGAGUGAAGAAGCAUUUCGGUAGUUAAAUCUCUAUCAGCAGGGAGCAAAAAAGGACGGUACCUGAUUAAGAAGCCCCGGCUAACUACGUGCCAGCAGCCGCGGUAAUACGUAGGGAGCAAGCGUUAUCCGGAUUUACUGGGUGUAAAGGGGGCGUAGACGGGAAGGCAAGUCGGGAGUAGAAUGCGGAAGCUCAACGGCUGAACUGCGCUGGAAACUGUAUGGCUUGAGUGCAGGAGGGGUAAGCGGAAUUCCUGGUGUAGCGGUGAAAUGCGUAGAUAUCAGGAGGAACACCGGUGGCGAAGGCGGCUAACUGGACUGCAACUGACGCUGAGGCACGAAAGCGUGGGGAGCAAACAGGAUUAGAUACCCGAGUAGUC
This 442-nucleotide ribosomal RNA is filed under the name uncultured bacterium. RNAcentral's name for it is "partial 16S ribosomal RNA". It matches the Rfam family "Bacterial small subunit ribosomal RNA", at positions 338 to 795 of the family's 1533-position model. The record is from RNAcentral.